UAUUUGCUCCUCAACACUAAACCU
Molecule: non-coding RNA, 24 nt
Filed under: Arabidopsis thaliana (thale cress)
Lineage: Eukaryota; Viridiplantae; Streptophyta; Magnoliopsida; Brassicales; Brassicaceae
Source: RNAcentral